GAUGUGAGAGACGGUCAGGACUCAUACUUUCAGUCAGAACUCAACCCGCCCCUUCAGCACUCACAUGCAAACAGAUACACACCCACCACCAACUCUUUAACGCUGAAAGAGGGAGGAGGUGCAGGGUGCAGUACACUAUGAAAACCAGGAACAGAUGUACACUCUGAUGAGGAUGCUCACUGCUUUCCCGCCCUGCCCCAACACCAUUAUAUUAAAAACUGGUCUGGA
Molecule: long non-coding RNA, 228 nt
Organism: Oreochromis niloticus (Nile tilapia)
Lineage: Eukaryota; Metazoa; Chordata; Actinopteri; Cichliformes; Cichlidae
Exons: 2
Source: RefSeq, a predicted model, not a curated record